UACGUAGGGUCCGAGCGUUGUCCGGAAUUAUUGGGCGUAAAGGGCUCGUAGGCGGUUAGUCGCGUCGGGAGUGAAAACUCAGGGCUCAACCCUGAGCGUGCUUCCGAUACGGGCUGACUAGAGGUAUGCAGGGGAGAACGGAAUUCCUGGUGUAGCGGUGGAAUGCGCAGAUAUCAGGAGGAACACCGGUGGCGAAGGCGGAUCUCUGGGCCUUACCUGACGCUCAGGUGCGAAAGCUAGGGGAGCGAACAGG
Molecule: ribosomal RNA, 253 nt
Filed under: uncultured bacterium
Lineage: Bacteria
Description: partial 16S ribosomal RNA
Rfam family: Bacterial small subunit ribosomal RNA
Source: RNAcentral